Molecule: unclassified non-coding RNA, 328 nt
Filed under: Hevea brasiliensis (rubber tree)
Lineage: Eukaryota; Viridiplantae; Streptophyta; Magnoliopsida; Malpighiales; Euphorbiaceae
Source: RNAcentral
GAACGGGCAUAAUGAUCAGUUCGCUGAAGUUCGUAUUGAGCAGCUUCUACUUCUUGUUUCAGUGCUACAUGAGUAGCAGCUAACCUCUGGUUAUCAACUAAUAAUCCUUGAAUCUCAUCAUGCUGACUAGCCAGGUGUUCCUCAAGAACAGCAGGGUGUGGAGGCAUUGGUCUGGAGCCCAUUCCAAACUGUGAUUCUCUCAUUUCUUCAAGCAUUGCUGGAUGAGGCACCGGCAAGCGACCCCUAGCAAACUGGGGCUCAUGCAUUGGUGGAGGAAGUCCACCAUGAGGACCACCUUUCAUAGGAAGUGGAGGCCCGCGAUUCCGAC